This 484-nucleotide ribosomal RNA is filed under the name uncultured bacterium. RNAcentral describes it as "partial 16S ribosomal RNA". It matches the Rfam family "Bacterial small subunit ribosomal RNA", at positions 30 to 507 of the family's 1533-position model. The record is from RNAcentral.
AUUGAACGCUGGCGGCAGGCCUAACACAUGCAAGUCGAGCGGAUGAAGGGAGCUUGCUCCUGGAUUCAGCGGCGGACGGGUGAGUAAUGCCUAGGAAUCUGCCUGGUAGUGGGGGAUAACGUCCGGAAACGGGCGCUAAUACCGCAUACGUCCUGAGGGAGAAAGUGUGGGAUCUUCGGACCUCACGCUAUCAGAUGAGCCUAGGUCGGAUUAGCUAGUUGGUGGGGUAAAGGCCUACCAAGGCGACGAUCCGUAACUGGUCUGAGAGGAUGAUCAGUCACACUGGAACUGAGACACGGUCCAGACUCCUACGGGAGGCAGCAGUGGGGAAUAUUGGACAAUGGGCGAAAGCCUGAUCCAGCCAUGCCGCGUGUGUGAAGAAGGUCUUCGGAUUGUAAAGCACUUUAAGUUGGGAGGAAGGGCAGUAAGUUAAUAACUUGCUGUUUUGACGUUACCAACAGAAUAAGCACCGGCUAACUUCGUG